This 389-nucleotide long non-coding RNA is filed under the name Capra hircus (goat). RNAcentral's name for it is "lncRNA (ENSCHIG00010019446.1)". The record is from RNAcentral. Lineage: Eukaryota; Metazoa; Chordata; Mammalia; Artiodactyla; Bovidae.
GUGUCUGACUCUUUGCGACCCCAUGGACUGCAGCAUGCCAGACCUCCCUGCCCAUUGCCAACUCCUGGGGCUGGCUGAAACUCAUUUGAAGCUGAGAAGACUGGAAGACAAUUGGCGUUUUCAGUAUGUGCUGCCUCUACUGGCGGGAGUCAGAGAUGCCGUGUUAGAUGAGAGUGCGCAAGAUCGCGACAUAGCUCGUAGAAAUGUGAAAACAGCAGAAGUGAAGGAUGGUUAGACUCGCAAAGGUGCUAUGAAAUCUUCAUGUUCAAAUUUAUGCUUUCUUUUCCUUUUCUGACCACUUUCUUUAAUUAAUUUAUUUAGCAUGCCUUUGCUCUUAAUACUUUUUAAAAAGAUGCUAUCAACAAGAAGCUUUGUUCUAUGGUAAAGUU